This 406-nucleotide unclassified non-coding RNA is filed under the name soil metagenome. RNAcentral describes it as "partial contains 5.8S ribosomal RNA, internal transcribed spacer 2, and large subunit ribosomal RNA". The stretch from base 1 to 121 matches the Rfam family "5.8S ribosomal RNA", at positions 35 to 154 of the family's 154-position model. The record is from RNAcentral.
GAUGAAGAACGUAGCGAAAUGCGAUAAGUAAUGUGAAUUGCAGGAUUCAGUGAAUCAUCGAAUCUUUGAACGCACCUUGCGCCCUUUGGCCAUUCCGAAGGGCAUGCCUGUUUGAGUAUCAUGAACACCUCAACUCUUCAUGGUUUUCCGUGAUGAGCUUGGACUUUGGGGGUCUUGCUGGCCUAUGGUCAGCUCCUCUAAAAUAAAUCAGCUUGCCAGUGUUUGGUGGGUAUCACAGGUGUGAUAACUAUCUACGCUUGUGGUUUUCCACCAGGUAACCUUCAGCAGUGGAGGUUCGCUGGAGCUCACAGAUGUGUCUCUCCUCAGUGAGGACAGCUCUUUGAAUGUUUGAUCUCAAAUCAGGUAGGACUACCCGCUGAACUUAAGCAUAUCAAUAAGCGGAGGA